UACGAAGGGUGCAAGCGUUACUCGGAAUUACUGGGCGUAAAGGGUGCGUAGGUGGUUGUUUAAGUCUGCUGUGAAAGCCCCGGGCUCAACCUGGGAAUGGCAGUGGAUACUGGACAGCUAGAGUGCGGUAGAGGGUAGUGGAAUUCCCGGUGUAGCAGUGAAAUGCGUAGAGAUCGGGAGGAACACCGGUGGCGAAGGCGGCUACCUGGACCAGCACUGACACUGAAGCACGAAAGCGUGGGGAGCAAACAGG
This 253-nucleotide ribosomal RNA is filed under the name uncultured bacterium. Its description in RNAcentral is "partial 16S ribosomal RNA". It matches the Rfam family "Bacterial small subunit ribosomal RNA", at positions 524 to 776 of the family's 1533-position model. The record is from RNAcentral.